This 305-nucleotide ribosomal RNA is filed under the name uncultured bacterium. RNAcentral's name for it is "partial 16S ribosomal RNA". It matches the Rfam family "Bacterial small subunit ribosomal RNA", at positions 508 to 807 of the family's 1533-position model. The record is from RNAcentral.
ACAGCAGUCGCCGCGGUAAUACGUAGGGUGCGAGCGUUGUCCGGAAUUACUGGGCGUAAAGAGCUCGUAGGCGGUUUGUCGCGUCGUCUGUGAAAUUCUGCAGCUUAACUGUAGGCGUGCAGGCGAUACGGGCAGACUUGAGUACUACAGGGGAGACUGGAAUUCCUGGUGUAGCGGUGAAAUGCGCAGAUAUCAGGAGGAACACCGGUGGCGAAGGCGGGUCUCUGGGUAGUAACUGACGCUGAGGCACGAAAGCAUGGGGAGCAAACAGGAUUAGAUACCCCCGUAGUCCCUGUCUCUUAUAC